RNAcentral lists this ribosomal RNA (547 nucleotides) under uncultured Methanosarcinales archaeon. RNAcentral describes it as "bacterial SSU rRNA". It matches the Rfam family "Archaeal small subunit ribosomal RNA", at positions 339 to 885 of the family's 1478-position model. Lineage: Archaea; Methanobacteriati; Methanobacteriota; Methanomicrobia; Methanosarcinales. The record is from RNAcentral.
GCGCGAAAACUUUACAAUGCCGGCAACGGCGAUAAGGGGACCUCGAGUGCCAGGUUACAAAUCUGGCUGUCGUGAUGCCUAAAAAGCAUUGCAUAGCAAGGGCCGGGCAAGACCGGUGCCAGCCGCCGCGGUAACACCGGCGGCUCGAGUGGUAACCGUUAUUAUUGGGUCUAAAGGGUCUGUAGCCGGCCGGAUAAGUCUCUUGGGAAAUCUGGCAGCUUAACUGUCAGGCUUUCAGGAGAUACUGUCUGGCUCGAGGCCGGGAGAGGUGAGAGGUACUUCAGGGGUAGGGGUGAAAUCUUGUAAUCCUUGAAGGACCACCAGUGGCGAAGGCGUCUCACCAGAACGGACCUGACGGCAAGGGACGAAAGCUAGGGGCACGAACCGGAUUAGAUACCCGGGUAGUCCUAGCCGUAAACGAUACUCGCUAGGUGUCGGCCACGGUGCGACCGUUGUCGGUGCCGUAGGGAAGCCGUGAAGCGAGCCACCUGGGAAGUACGGCCGCAAGGCUGAAACUUAAAGGAAUUGGCGGGGGAGCACCGACAAC